AAGUGUUAGAGCUCUUUUAGAAUUCAUCCAGCAGGAUUUUUGGUCCUCACUGCAACAGCCCUU
RNAcentral lists this small nuclear RNA (63 nucleotides) under Otolemur garnettii (small-eared galago). Its description in RNAcentral is "U7 small nuclear RNA". It matches the Rfam family "U7 small nuclear RNA". Rfam says of the family: Animal histone pre-mRNAs are spliced by a different mechanism than nuclear pre-mRNAs and self-splicing introns. This processing involves the U7 snRNP, which contains only one RNA species: U7. The record is from Rfam by way of RNAcentral. Lineage: Eukaryota; Metazoa; Chordata; Mammalia; Primates; Galagidae.